UGACGUCAGAUGAUCCACCCGUCUCAGCCUCCCAAAAUGCUGGGAUUACAGGCAUGAGCCACCACACCCAGCAAUAGUUUAGAUUUUCAUCUCAGAAUAUGUCAACCAUCUCCACAGUGCCCUGUCUACUUGCUCACAAGGAGAGGGGGAGGGUUGCGUGAUUUCAUUAAAAGGAGGAGGACCACGAAGCAUCCCCUUUACAUCUCUCUCCUGCCUUAGCUCCUCUAAGCCAUCCAGACCUGUCGACCGAAGGUGGAAGGACAGCAGGUGUCAACUCCCCAGAGCCGGAGAGGAAACGGAGAAGGGUGGGAGAAGAGGUGAAGAAGACGAUUAAAAUAAAGUUUUUACCUUAAAGAAGUGGGCGCUGUUCCAGGACUGAGAAGGAGAGUUCAGCUGUGGCAAUGCGAUGGGGGAGGUGGGUGCAGUGAGGGGGGCUGCCAGUGCCAAUUGCCUUCCAGCUGUCAACGCCUGAGCUUAUACAGGUUUACACAGCUUUAUGAGCGGCGGUCCUGGCUGGGUUGUGGCUGCUUCCGGACUCACGCCCAGUACUGGGGGCACCGAAGGAGGGCGAAGGCAGGCAGGGGCGCAGCCCAGGUGCUCCAGGUCGCUCAGAGCGUCUUCAGGAUUCCUGAGUCGCCGGGUCUAGGACACGCGCUCCAGGCCCUGACUACCAGCUGGUUUUCAAAGGAAGUUUGUGGUUUUUCUUUUCUUCUCUCUCUUUCUUUUUUUUCUCAUCGGGACGAAGAAAAAUUAGUCAAGGACAAGCUCCCUGGAGGAGGAGGGCCCUGCCCAGCACUGGUGGAUUUCCAUCAGGGCUUUCUGACCCGGUCAGCAGCUUGGUGAUCAGCAGAGAGGGAGAGAGAAACAGGAGAGAAAAACAACAGACCUUUUCUCUUCCCUCCGCCUGCCUCUGGAAGGGACGGAGCGCUUGUGCCUCUCUGUACCUGCGCUACCCCGCGGCUGGAAAGGAGCAGUUAAGGGGGGUUGGAACCUAACUCUGCAUUUUGAAGGGUUCCCUAGACUCUAUGUACAGGACUGCCUGCCACAGGAUGAAACUUCAAGCCUGAAACUCUGAAGGCUGAAAGAGCAGUUGGAACAAUUAGGGAGGUAGGGAGCAAAAAGCAAAGGUUACAGCCGACCAAGAAAGGAAGGAGAAGAUAUUUGACGAGACGGUAGAAAAAUAAA
Sapajus apella (tufted capuchin) is the source of this 1185-nucleotide long non-coding RNA. RefSeq lists it as uncharacterized. The record is from RefSeq and is a predicted model, not a curated record. The transcript is spliced from 2 exons. Lineage: Eukaryota; Metazoa; Chordata; Mammalia; Primates; Cebidae.